AGCGAACGCUGGCGGCAGGCCUAACACAUGCAAGUCGAACGCCCCGCAAGGGGAGUGGCAGACGGGUGAGUAACACGUGGGAACAUGCCCUUCGGUUCGGAAUAACACAGGGAAACGUUGUGCUAAUACCGGAUACGUCCGAGAGGAGAAAGAUUUAUCGCCGAAGGAUUGGCCCGCGUCUGAUUAGCUAGUUGGUGAGGUAACGGCUCACCAAGGCGACGAUCAGUAGCUGGUCUGAGAGGAUGAUCAGCCACACUGGGACUGAGACACGGCCCAGACUCCUACGGGAGGCAGCAGUGGGGAAUAUUGGACAAUGGGCGCAAGCCUGAUCCAGCCAUGCCGCGUGAGUGAUGAAGGCCCUAGGGUUGUAAAGCUCUUUUGCCCGCGACGAUAAUGACUGUAGCGGGAGGAAUAAGCCCCGGCUAACUUCGUG
RNAcentral lists this ribosomal RNA (433 nucleotides) under uncultured bacterium. Its description in RNAcentral is "bacterial SSU rRNA". It matches the Rfam family "Bacterial small subunit ribosomal RNA", at positions 29 to 507 of the family's 1533-position model. The record is from RNAcentral.